CUAUUUUUGCUGACUUCCCAGGGAAAGGAAGUUUCUGGCUUGACCAGGAGAUGUCUCUAUUAAGCCACGUCGAGCUGAACGCGGAGGCACAGCAGGAGGAGAGGACUGUGCUGGGGAAGAUCAGCCCUGCAACAAACUGCAGCGGUGGAGGGACCCUCCCUGCACUCUCACCGCUGCCUCAAUUAGCAGCACCUUACUGCAGCCCUCCGGCAGCUAUUUAAGUGCUGUUUCCUCUUGGAACAGCUCAGGUGGAGCCAGUAGACGUCUGCCUGGCUUUCAAGACAGACUGCAGCAGAUCUGGUGUGAAGAGCCUCUUCUCCCCCGUGAGCUCUUCCCAUCACGGCAUCUCCUUCAGCAAGAAGACCCAGCAGAAUUUCCCCUGAUCUACAGGAAGGACCAGAGAGAGAGGGACAAAAUACUGCAUGAAGAAGCUGUUGCUGCAAUGUUGGCUGCAAGUUUCAUCCCUGCCCGUGGGACUCUAUUUUCGGGACCAAGCCACUGUUGUGCUGCCCCCAGGCUCAAGUUUCUGCUGCUAGAAGGUUUUUAUGUAAAAAGAAAGCCAGCUUGAGCAUCCCCUCAGGAUACAUGGCUCAGCGAGUGACAAGUGCAGUAGGAUACUUACUGGUCAUCACCUUGGAGCUAACGGGGAUGCUG
Motacilla alba alba is the source of this 654-nucleotide long non-coding RNA. RefSeq lists it as uncharacterized. NCBI's taxonomy places the organism in Eukaryota, Metazoa, Chordata, Aves, Passeriformes, Motacillidae. The transcript has 3 exons. The record is from RefSeq and is a predicted model, not a curated record.